GACGAACGCUGGCGGCGUGCCUAAUACAUGCAAGUCGAGCGGACGGAUGGGAGCUUGCUCCCAGACCGUCAGCGGCGGACGGGUGAGUAACACGUGGGCAACCUGCCUGUAAGACUGGGAUAACUCCGGGAAACCGGGGCUAAUACCGGAUAACUCUUUCCCUCACAUGAGGGAAAGCUGAAAGAUGGCAUCUCGCUAUCACUUACAGAUGGGCCCGCGGCGCAUUAGCUAGUUGGUGAGGUAACGGCUCACCAAGGCGACGAUGCGUAGCCGACCUGAGAGGGUGAUCGGCCACACUGGGACUGAGACACGGCCCAGACUCCUACGGGAGGCAGCAGUAGGGAAUCUUCCGCAAUGGACGAAAGUCUGACGGAGCAACGCCGCGUGAGUGAUGAAGGUGUUCGGAUCGUAAAACUCUGUUGUCAGGGAAGAACAAGUACCGGAGUAACUGCCGGUACCUUGACGGUACCUUACGAGAAAGCCACGGCUAACUACGUG
Molecule: ribosomal RNA, 498 nt
Filed under: uncultured bacterium
Lineage: Bacteria
Description: partial 16S ribosomal RNA
Rfam family: Bacterial small subunit ribosomal RNA
Source: RNAcentral